This 75-nucleotide transfer RNA is filed under the name Candidatus Omnitrophota bacterium. Its description in RNAcentral is "tRNA-Thr". It matches the Rfam family "tRNA". From Rfam's summary of the family: Transfer RNA (tRNA) molecules are approximately 80 nucleotides in length. Their secondary structure includes four short double-helical elements and three loops (D, anti-codon, and T loops). Lineage: Bacteria; Pseudomonadati; Candidatus Omnitrophota. The record is from RNAcentral.
GCCGGCGUAGCUCAAUGGUGGAGCAAGCGCUUCGUAAGCGCUAGGUUGUCAGUUCGAGUCUGACCGCCGGCUCCA